AUAUUUCAAGUGAUGAUUAGAUGCAUAGUUCAAAUGACUAGUCUAUGAUUAUACAACUCUUUAGUCUUUCGCUUCUAUCUGAUGACCUUU
Molecule: small nucleolar RNA, 90 nt
Organism: Salvia splendens (bonfire salvia)
Lineage: Eukaryota; Viridiplantae; Streptophyta; Magnoliopsida; Lamiales; Lamiaceae
Product: small nucleolar RNA snR60/Z15/Z230/Z193/J17
Exons: 1
Source: RefSeq, a predicted model, not a curated record